This 245-nucleotide ribosomal RNA is filed under the name uncultured bacterium. RNAcentral describes it as "partial 16S ribosomal RNA". It matches the Rfam family "Bacterial small subunit ribosomal RNA", at positions 88 to 334 of the family's 1533-position model. The record is from RNAcentral.
AUGGCGACCGGCGCACGGGUGAGUAACACGUAUCCAACCUGCCGAUAACUCGGGGAUAGCCUUUCGAAAGAAAGAUUAAUACCCGAUGGUAUAAUCAGACCGCAUGGUUUGAUUAUUAAAGAAUUUCGGUUAUCGAUGGGGAUGCGUUCCAUUAGGCAGUUGGUGAGGUAACGGCUCACCAAACCUUCGAUGGAUAGGAGUUCUGAGAGGAAGGUCCCCCACAUUGGAACUGAGACACGGUCCAA